CACUUCGCGAUAGCAGCAGCAGAAGCGCCACCACAAGCGGUUCAACUCCGGCUUGGGAAUGGAUCGAUAAAACAACAUAGCUGAAGAUUCUUCAGAAUGUUCGUGCUGCUCGAAACUGGAUGCACGGUUUGCGUUUGUUACUUUUCAUCACAGCAUCACUCAAAAACGUGUUUACCUGUUUCAUCCGCAUUCGUCACAUGAAACUGACAACCAGAAUAAUUUUAAUCAGGAAAAGUAUAUCUUACUGAUUUUCGAUUUCACUUUUAGCUGAGAAAUGUAUUUGUGUUGAUGUAUGGAUUAUUUGUUGUGAAAUUUGAUUUAGAUUUAGAAGUGAAACUAUUUUUUAAGAAAAUAUGUCAUGAAACAUAAUGGACCAUGCAGUUUUAAAAAAAGAGAGCGCAUUAUUAUUCUAAAAUGGAAUCGCAGAGAAAUCAUAAUGAAUAUCUAUUAUUUGAACCUCGAAAUGUGAUUUAAAAAAAAUCUGAAAGUUUUAUGAAUUGAAGCAAAAUGAGCUGAAAGUGAACCAAUAUGCAAACUUUUAUUAGGCAAUUCAUGGCAAAAAAUCAGAGAUAUUUUCUACCGAGCAUCUGUUUCGGUAGAUUAUGACAGUUUAGAUUUUAUAAAAACAAAACUAUUUGAUAAAUUCUGCUACAGAAACUUUGUCGAACAUUACUGAAAUAUAAACGAUGUUACAAAACAAACGAAAGUAUAGUGUUUAUGAUGUAAAAUUUACAUUGUAAAAAUAAAUAUACGUAAAUUAUAAAAAUAUGUUUAGAAAUUUCGGCAACAGAAUAUCCUCCCUUCCUCUGAAAGACAAUAUUGCUGAAGAAAAUAAAACAAGAAACAAUGGAAGUGCUUUUUCGUUCAGAAUUUAUAUAGUUUUUCAAUUCAGCGUGUGUUUUAAUUGAGUGUCGACACAUUUUAACCUUUUCCUGGUGCGAACAAUCAAAGGAAAAAAAAAAAUUCGAAAAUGAGACGGGAAAAACAUGGAGUCCAACUCACUGGUAGUGUACGAAUCAACAUGAAAGGAAGAGUACCCCUCUUUCGAAUAAGAAAUGUGCUUACGACUUCAGAAGUUCCCAACCGAAAGAAAAUGUGAACAAAAAUAAAAACAAAACUCACUUCUGGACUUGAAGCAUGAAAUGCCGCAGCAACUGGCUAUGAAUGAUGCAUUGAAUAAAAAUUGUGAACACUACUUAUGGUUUGAACUCGGCUACUUAAGUCACUUCUGUAUUAGUGACCUCCGUGCUGCCCGCAGAAAGUGGGCACAGGAGCAUCUCCAAUGGAGAAGAGAUGACUGGAGCAACAUUCUCUUCACAGACGUGUCCUGCUUUAAUGUACAACCUGACAAUAGCGGGGUUUUCAUCUGGAGAAAGCCUCUUCUACAGAAUAUUCCUGUAUUCGUUCACGGAUACAAGGAUGAGAUCCUCAGAUCUAUUGUGGUCCUUUUCCCUAAAGCAACGGAGAAUGAAUUCAUUCUCUCGGAUGAUAAUGCCAAGCCACAUCGUGCUGAGCUGGUGAACAGUUUCCUUUUUUACAAAGGAAUCCUUCGAACAGAUUGGCCAGGAUGUUCCCCACAUAUAAACCGAAUAGAACCUGUUUGGGACAUUCUAGGUGACAAGGGUUGUUACUCGCUUAUCACCAUGAGAAACAAUUCAGCAGUUUGAAAGCUCUCUUCUACAGGAGCGGGAGAGAACACCCCAGCCCCUCUGAUUCCAUUCCUUGUAGAUGUGCGAUAUUUCUUUCGGUCAGGGGAAAGCGUACCCCUUACUAAAACUCAUUUGUAUCUGAGAUAUCACAUUUUUUGUUUGUUUGUAUUAUAUGCAUAAAUUGUGCAUUUUUUGUUUACCGACAAA
Stegodyphus dumicola is the source of this 1856-nucleotide unclassified non-coding RNA. NCBI's taxonomy places the organism in Eukaryota, Metazoa, Arthropoda, Arachnida, Araneae, Eresidae. The record is from RefSeq and is a predicted model, not a curated record.